RNAcentral lists this ribosomal RNA (400 nucleotides) under uncultured bacterium. RNAcentral's name for it is "bacterial SSU rRNA". It matches the Rfam family "Bacterial small subunit ribosomal RNA", at positions 355 to 771 of the family's 1533-position model. The record is from RNAcentral.
UAGGGAAUAUUGCACAAUGGGCGAAAGCCUGAUGCAGCAACGCCGCGUGCGCGAUGAAGGCCUUCGGGUCGUAAAGCGCUUUUCGGGGAGAUGAGGAAGGACAGUAUCCCCGGAAUAAGGUUCGGCUAACUACGUGCCAGCAGCCGCGGUAAAACGUAGGAACCGAGCGUUAUCCGAAUUUACUGGGCGUAAAGCGCGUGUAGGCGGUUCGGUAAGUUGGAUGUGAAAUCUCCUGGCUCAACUGGGAGAGGUCGUUCAAUACUGUCGAACUUGAGGGUGGUAGAGGGAGGUGGAAUUCCCGGUGUAGUGGUGAAAUGCGUAGAUAUCGGGAGGAACACCAGUGGCGAAAGCGGCCUCCUGGACCAUUCCUGACGCUCAGACGCGAAAGCUAGGGGAGCAA